UCUCCUGUAGCUCAUUGACAGAGCGUACGACCGUUUUUCGGAAGAUCAUAAGUUCGAUUCGUGUUGGGAGAA
This 72-nucleotide transfer RNA is filed under the name Desmophyllum pertusum. RNAcentral describes it as "Lophelia pertusa tRNA". It matches the Rfam family "tRNA". Rfam says of the family: Transfer RNA (tRNA) molecules are approximately 80 nucleotides in length. Their secondary structure includes four short double-helical elements and three loops (D, anti-codon, and T loops). The record is from Rfam by way of RNAcentral. Lineage: Eukaryota; Metazoa; Cnidaria; Anthozoa; Scleractinia; Caryophylliidae.